RNAcentral lists this transfer RNA (98 nucleotides) under Polypterus delhezi (barred bichir). Its description in RNAcentral is "tRNA-Cys". Lineage: Eukaryota; Metazoa; Chordata; Cladistia; Polypteriformes; Polypteridae. The record is from RNAcentral.
UCCUCCCGCCGAAACUCUAAAAGGCGGGAGGAAGCCCCGGCAGGCGUUAACCUACGUCUCAGGGUUUGCAAUCCUGCAUGAAACUACACUACAAGGCU